GUGCAAUAACCUUGAAUAACACCAUGCGAUCCAUUUGAGGUUUCACUAGGGAUUCUAUGCUCCUAUGAUGCCAUAACAAAAGCCAUGACAUCACAAGCAAAAGCUGAAUUGCUUGAUAAGUUCCUUAGGUAGAGGUCUGCAGCUGUGGUUGCCCAGUAUUUCAAGAAAGUUGAAUUCAGAGUGAGGACCAUCAUAAAAAAGAAAAGGAAAUUCAUGAAGCCAUCACUGCAGCUACACCAGCAAAAUGUGCAGCAAAAACUUUGUACGUUUUUUGAAAUAACUUUUUAUCUCAUAUUGAAAAUGUAGCUUUUACAUGGGUAUAGGAUUACUAAAAGAACAGCAUGCCUAUAUACUGCAAUAUGAUUUGAAAAAAAAAACAAAGUCAUUAUAUGACAACUUAAAGCAAAAAGAAGGAAGUUUUGAAAGCUGGAGAAUUUAAUGCCAGCAAAGGAUGGUUUGAUCAUUUUAGAAUGAAGUUCCAUUUUAAAAAUGCCAAAGUAAAAGGAGAAGUAGCUUCUACUGACCAAGAGACAAUAGAUGAAUUUCCAGAUGCCUUUAUCAUUAAAGAGAAAGAAUAUCUGCAUGAAUAGGAUUUUAAUGCAGAUGGAAGUGCUCUAUUCUGAGAAAAAAAUGCCAAAAGUAGGCGUUAGUAAGGAGAAGUGAGCACUCAGAUUUCAGGCAGGAAGGCAUAGGAUAACUCUACUGUUUUAUGCAAAUGCAGUGGGUUUAUGAUCAGUACUGCCUUUGUCUAUAAAGCUACUAACCCCCAAGCCUUGGAAGGAAGGAAUAAACACCAGAUGCCAGUCAUUUGGUUAUGUAACAAGAAGUCCUGGAUAACAAGAACACUAGCCCUGGAUUGGUUUCAUCAAUGCUUUGUCCCUGAAGUCAGGUAAUUCCUGCCAGCAAGGGACUGCUUUUUCAAGUUCUUUUGAUAUGGGACAAUAUCCCUCGCUACCCAGAACACCACAAAUUUAAUACCACAGGUGUCCAAGGAGUCUAUUUGCUUCCAAACACAACAUCUCUAAUUCAGCUUCUAGAUUAGGGGUCAUAAGAAGCUUUAAGGCUCAUUAAACACAGUACUCUAUGGGAAAGAUUGCCAACACUAUGGAAGAAAACCAUGAGAGAGAGAAUAUCAUGAGAGUCUGGAAGGAUCAUACUAUUGAAGAUCUCUCAUUGUUAUAGAAAAAGCCACAAAGCCUGAAACAAUAAAUUCCUGCUGUGUCCAGAUGUUGUGCAUAAUUUCACAGGAUUUACAACAGAGCCAGUCAAGAAAAUCACAAAAGAGAUUGUGCAUAUGGCAAAAGGUGGACAAGUGAAGAAUUUCAAGAUAUGGAUCUUGGAGAAAUUCAAGAGCUGAUAGACAAAGAAUUAACAGAAGACAACCUGAUGGAGAUGAGUGCUUCCAAACCAGUGACAGAUGAUGAGUAAGAAGACAGAAGAAGCAGUGCCAGAAAACAAGUUGAUAUUAGACAAUAUGGCAGAAAGGUUCUGAUUUCAAGACUGGUUUUGACUUUUUUUUUUUAAUACAUGGAGCAUUCUAUAAUACAGGCACUGAAACUAAAACAAAUGGUAGAAGGAGGAUUGGCACCAUAUAGAAAUAUUUUUAGAGAAAUGAAAAAGCAGAAAUCAGACUGAAUUAUGAGAGGCACCUCUAUGAAGUUACAUCUGGUGUGCCUGCCUCUCCUGCCUCCCCUUCCACCUCUUCCAUCUUUUCCAUCUUUGUCACCCCUGAGACCUUCUGCUUCUGAGUAUGAUGUGAAGACAACCAAGAGGAAGACCCUUAUGAUGAUCCACUUCCACUUAAUGAAUAGGGGAGACUUUCUUGGAAACAGAUAAAGGAAAGAGUCCAGUAAUUUGUAGCAAUGUGACUACAGCCACACAUGCUCCAGAAUUAAUGUUCUUCAUUAGGGUUGAUUAGAUGAGCUUUCAUACAUUGGAAACCUGACUACUUUCCAACAACUUGAUUUCACAAAUGGAAAAACAGCAUCUGUUUUCCUGCAGCUUCACAUAUGGCGAUCAUUGUUGCUAAGACAAGCUGAAGCAGGAUCAAUGUUUGUGUUUUGAAGGUCAAAAGAUUGGCAGCUAUAGAAAUUAAAUUCCAGAAUACAUCCACCAGCCAGGUAUAUUGCAAACAGAUGUUCUUUCACUGAAAUUGCCAUGCCAGUGGUCUUAACCCUCUUUGGAAGGAAAACUCAAUCAAUUCCAGCAAGAAAAGCCUUCAGUGAUUUUGGAGUAGUCUUGGACUUCUCCUGAAUAUAACUAUCAUUUAACAAAUAUUUCUUUAUCAAGAACUGCUUCUUUAGCAUCUGUUUAUCACAGGAUCAUAACAGAUUGGAACUGGAAAACCUGAAAGUACUCAAUCUUUCAGUAGUAAAAUAAAAGCCAGGAUUCCUAACUUGCCAGAAACCUACUGAAAUGACUGUGAGACCCUACGGUGAAAAGUGAUCUUUCUGCAGUGAGAAUGAGCCAGGGCUGGGCAGUCAGCACACUUGAGUAUUGUACCUGCCUCCACCACUGGCAAAUACCACCAGAGAUGCUGUGAAAUGCAGAUUCCAAGGCCCCACAUUAUAUCUACAGCAUCAGAAUCUCUGGGGUGGGAGCCCAGGAGAUUCUUACACACAGUGGAGUCUUAUGCACAUUCAGCCACCCAGGUGUUAUGCACCAGCUCCGCCACUUACCACUUUCUAGCUUGUAAUUUUGGGCCUGUUACUCAAUCUCUUCAAAACCUUGGUUUCUUCACCUACAAAAUGGAGCUAAAAGCACAUUGUGGAAAUUAAUAAGACGAUGCAUGGAAAAUGCUCAGCCGGUCUGCACAAAAGAAAUGUUUGGCACACCCUGCUACACACACAACCCAUGGAAUAUCAGGUAUUGAGCAAUGGGUAUUCCUGGUGGCAGUGGGCCAGAUGUAGCUCAUCAUCGGUUGGAAUCAAUUCCAGAAGAGGUGUUAGAGUCUGUUGGUCCAAGAGAAAGUCUGAUCCAGACACCAAAAAGAGCCAUGAGGAAAAUGGAUACUAUCUCCACUGAUCUCCCAACAAUUUAGGUAGUACAAUAUUCAGUUCAGAUUAAGCAAUGGGAUAACCUACAAGCGAUGCUAUUUUAGUGAGUUUAUAAGGUUAUAUUAAAUUCAUAGUCAUUGUCAAAUUAUCUCCCAGGUUCUAUUUCUGUGAAUAGACUGUCAUAUCCAAAUGGAUGGGGAAAGUGAAUAAUUAUUAAUAUUAAUAAUACAUACACUUGGAUUUUCUUCUUUGUUUUACACUUGAGUUUUCAAUAAAUCAGAAAAGCUAGAAACCAAUCACAUGCUA
Non-coding RNA from Microcebus murinus (gray mouse lemur), 3302 nucleotides. Lineage: Eukaryota; Metazoa; Chordata; Mammalia; Primates; Cheirogaleidae. The record is from RefSeq and is a predicted model, not a curated record.